CUAGAACGGAAAACACGAAAUGGGUACGAAGAAAUGCGAAAUAAUAUUCUUAAUUUUUCAUUUUAUGUAAAACCCACAAUUUAUUUCAAAUGAAUUGACCUUCUUUGAUGUGAGUUUUUAUAGCUCGUAUUAAAGUGCACGAGUUGAGGCAGAAGAACGAGGCGGAUCUGUUGGCGCAGCUAAGGGAUUUGAAGGCGGAAUUAGCAUUGUUUAGAGUAGCCAAAGCCAUUGUUGGGCAGCCAACAAGCUGUCGAAGAUUAAGGUGGUUAGGCUCUCCAUUGUUCAGGUGUUGACUGUGAAUUCUCAGAAGCUGAAGGCGGCUCUAAGGGAAGCGUACAAGAACAAGAAGUAUUUGCCUCUUGAUCUCCACCCUAAUGUUAUUGUUGCUGGGUUUGUGACUCAAAUUAGAGUGAAUUUUUCUGGAAAUAAAUUGUUUUCUUAUUUUCAUUUUCAUGUGGGAAAAAUUGUUUGAUUUUUAUGGAAACACAUUAUUUUGUUAUUCCACAUUAUUUUUAUCUUUAUGAUAUGUCAUAUACCUAUAAAUAGUAGACUUCUUUUUUAGUUUUGUUCAAGCAAGAAUUGUUGAGUUUUUAUAUUUCACUACAUACUGUCGAUUAAUAAAACGUCUCUUUUUGUUAAUUUCUUUACUUUUAAAUCUUAUUUCUCUUUGCGAUCUUCGUUACUUCAUAUCGCAUCUUUAAUCUCAUUCACUACAAUCUUUUCGAGUCCAACAAGUUAUAUUGGAGUUUGGUUCUUGUUGUGGAUUUGUUGAGGCUUUUCAAAGAUGGCUGCUUUGAAAUGUGAUUUCUGCAAUUAGAUUGAAAUACAAGGUUUUCUUUGUGGCAAGUAAAUAUGAGAGCUAUUUUGGCGCUGUUAAAUUUGAAUGAUGUGUUGUUGGGUUUUGAGAGAAUGCCAGCUAAUUGGACAACGGAGAGAUCAAAAGGCUUUGUCGUUUAUUCAUCUUUAUCUAUCCAACAAUAUUCUGCAGAGUGUCCUGAAGGAGAAAAUAGCAACUGCUUUGUGGUUGAAACUAGAGCAGUUAUGUAUGAUCAAGAGUUUUACCAGUAAACUGGCUCUAAAGCAAAAGCUGUAUUCCCAUCGCAUAGCGGAGGAAGGGUCGUUGGAAGACCAUAUUGCCGUGUUCAAGGAAAUUGUUGCAGAUUUGGAAACGUUGGAGGUUAAGUACAAUGAAAAGAAUCUUGCCUUGAUCAUGUUAUGUUCAUUACUUGCCUUAUAUGCAUUGUUUCGAGAAACCAUUUGUACAAUCGAGAUACUUUGAUUAUAGACGACUUCUAUGAUGCUUUGCACUCAAAUGAAAAGUUGAAGCAUUUAGUUGGAGCUACAUCAAGGAAUGAGGAAGCUCUUGUACUCAUGGUGGUCGACGAAGGGGCAGAUUGAGAGAGAACAACAAUUUGUGUUGCUUCUAUUACCAAAGGAGAGGACACGUAAAGAAGGAUUGUGAUACGUUGCAAGAUAAAGGUAAUUUAGCUACAAAUUAUAGAGGAAAAUUAUGUAAUUCGGAUGUGACUAAUGUUGUCGAGAAUUUUUCGGAAGGUGGAGAUGUUAUGUUGACCGUGGUUUUUGAGAUGGAGUCUAAGUCUGACGAGGAGUGGAUUUUCAAUCAGCAAGUUCGUAUUAUAUGUAUUCCAAUCGAAAUUUGUUUAAGACGUAUGUGACUGUUGAGUAAGGUGGAGUUGUAAUGGGAAACAACCAGUCUUGCCAUAUUACUGGAUCGGUUGAGUCAGAGUAAGGUUGCAGGAUGGAAAGGUCAGAACAAUUAUGUAGGUUCGACAUAUUCCAAAUCUGAAGAGGAAUCUCAUCUCGCUGAGAGCCUUGGAUGAAGGGUAUAAGUUCUCUAGUGAAGGUAGAGUCCUUAGGGUCCAAAGGGGUGUCCAGAUUGUACUUGAGGGACGGAGAAGGUCUCAAUUGUACAUUUUGCAGGGGAGCACAGAGCCAAUUAAGAGACAUUUGGACAAGUUCAGUACCGUGGUGGAUAUACAGUUUGAUAUAGUACCUCUUAUGGCGUGCUUUGAGUUGGUUAAGAACACUACUAGAUGGAGCAUUGAUGAUUCCACUUUGCCACCAAUUUCAGCAAAUACAUUGUAUUCAGUUGUUAGGAUUGGAUUCAUGGAGCGUACACUACUAAAAAGCAGCUUUUCACCAACAAAAAAUUACCAACGAAUUGCAUCUGUUGAUAAUUAAAAUGGAUUAUCCGUUGGUAAAAGUUACUCACUUUUAAUUACGAUAAUUAGCAACGAAUAUUUCAUUGGUAACGAUGAUAUCUUUUUAUCAAUAGAUAUUUCGUGCCUCAUAUAACUAUUUAACAUUUGGAUAUUUCACCAACGGAAUAUUCGUUGGUGAUGUAACGAUUAUUUCCAACGGAUUAUCCAUUGGUAAAAGUAAUUCACUUUCAAUUACAAUAAUUAGCAUUGAUAACGAUAAUAUCUCUUUAUCAAGGGAUAUCUCGUGCCUCAUGUAAUCGUUUAACAUUUGGACAUUUCACCUACGGAUAUUCCGCUGGUGAUUAGAAAUAGAUUAUCCAUUGGUAAAAAUAAUUUACUUAUCCCACAUUGAAAGUUCACAAUAAAGUCUUCGGAGUUGUCCUCUAUAAAUUAAUUUGUGGUCCAAUAAGUGGUUAAAUAAUAUUUUGAUCUUUCAAUUCGGUUGCCUAAAAGUUAAAAAAAUUAGAAUUAUUAAAUAAAUAAUAAUAACAAUAAUAAAUAAAUAAAUAAUUUUUUUUACCAUGCCUCACAUCUAUGUGACUAUUUACACCAUUGAUUUUUACUAAUUGUAGUGGUAGAUAUUUACCAACGGAAAGUCGGUUGGUAUUAGUUGAUAUUUUUACCAACGAAAAUUUCGUUAGUAAAAGAUUCACACUUUACCAUCGAAAAAUUCAUUGGUAAAAUGUUUACUCUUUAUCUACAGCAGGAUUAGUUGGUAACUAUCAGUGACCCUCAAAUUAGCAACGAAUUUGCAUUCCAAAUAUUCCUUUGGUAAAGAGUAAUAGCAACGGAUAUCAAAGUUUUAGAAAGGGAAAAUUCGUGCCUAAAGCCAUAUUUUUUAGUAUGGUAAGUAUGGUGGUGUUAGUAAUGUCUAUAAUGCUUUCGGGUCGUUGAAGGUGACAAUUCUAGUAAGGGACCUUUUGAUCAAGCAUUUGGUAUGGUUUCUGCUAUAGGGUGUGCUUCAACCCUAUUUGGUCAACAGUAAUUCCUUAGUGAAAUUUCGGUAACCUGAGAUUUGGGUUCAGGUAUCACUUGUGGACGCCUUGUAGAGAACAACGAUUUGGUUUGGAGAGUUUUGGUUACUGUGUUGAGGAAAUUGGCUAUUUCGCUACAGAUGAAUUUGAAAUCUUGGAGUUUCGUUCGUUGCAUCGAAAUUUGGGUCAAAGUGGAGAUUGUUGGGUUUGUGACCCAAAUUAGGGUGGAUUUUUUUAGAAAUAAAUUGUUUCCUUAUUUUCAUAUGGAAAAAAAUAUUUUCUUAUCUUUCACGUGAUUUUUAUGGAAACAUAUUAUUUUCUUAUCCCACAUUAAUUUCAUCUUUAUGCUAUGUCAUGUAUCUAUAAACAAUGGUCUUCUCUUUCAAUUUUGUUUAAGCAAGAAUUGUUUAGUUCUUGUAUUUUUCACCAUAUUGUCAAUUAGUAAAACAUCGUGCUUCUGCUAUUAACUCUCUUUGUUAAUUUUUUUUACUUUUAAAUCUUGUUUCUCGUUGUGAUCUUCAUUAAUUCAUAUCGCAUCGUUAAUCUCAUUUACUACAAUCCUUCCGGGUCCAAUAAUGGUUGAAACUCAAUUUCUAUAGAAGUCAACCAAUAACAAGUAGCUAUAAACACAUUCAUUUCCUUAAUUGAUGAUUCUAUUACCAUGCAGGAAAUUACAAGUAAAGGACAUAUAUGAAAGAGAUGAGCUAUAUCAGUUGAGAAGUAGAGACAGAGGAGUGAAGACAAAUUCAGAAAAGAGCUUAGGAAUUGUGACACCUAACCAUGAAGAAGAAAAAAAGAACCAUGGAAGUGGAGGUCAGAAUCAGAGGAAAAAGAGAAGCAGAUUCAGCAAUGAUGGAGGUAAAAAAGAGGGGCAGACAUAGAAAAAGAGGAGAGGAGAAGAAAUUCCAGACCUUGAAGAAAAAGGAUAGAGAGAUAAAGAGAAAGCUGAAAACAAGAUGAGAUAUAGGGAUAUAGAGAGGAAAUAGCAAAAGAAGAGUAGAAACAGUAGAAGAAGAGGAGGAGGAGAAGAAGAAACAGGAGAAACGGACAAGAAGAGGCGGAAACCAGAGGAAGAGGAGACGGAUAGAGGAGAGUUAGCAGCAACAAGACUUGAUUCAAUUCAAUUCAUGCCCUUCAUCAUCUUCCAACAAAAUUAUAUAUAGAACAACCCUUAAAGUAAAGGACUUUGGGCUAGCCCACUAAUAACACAAGCCCAACUAGAUAAAAUAAAAGAUAAAUGGUCCACUUGAGUGAAGUUAGCCAUGACACCCAAGAAGACUCGUGCCAUUCGCAGGUGCCUCACCAAGCAUCAGGUAUCUAGUUAUUAUUAGUUAUUCUGGUGCGCAUUUGUUCAAUUUUUUCUAUAAUGUUGGGUUUCUUGUUUGUUCUUAUGAGUUUUAAGUGUUUAUUGUUAUUAGCUUAUCUGGUGGAGUACAGUUGGCAUUAUAGAUCAUGUGUCAAUAGGAAAUAAACAAUUGAAUAUCCUGAAAAUAACAGGUAUUCUGUAAUGUUUAGUUAGCCUAAACUCACCCUUUUCGGUGUUUAAGUGUUUAUUAUUACCUUAGCUGGUAGAGUAUAUUUGGCAUUGCAAAUCAUGUAGCAAGAGGAAGUCAACGAUUGAAUAUCCCAAAAUUAACAGUUUCUCUAAAAUUUAGUUGGCCUAAACUCGCCCAUUUCUGUCCAUUUGUAUCUUCUCCUCCUUUCUAGUUUGCACUUUAAGUGUUUGUUGUUAUUAGCUUAGCUGGUAGGAAAAUGUAUCUAGCAUUGUAAAUCAUGUGUCAAAAGGAAAUAAACAAUUGAACUGUCUAAAAUUAACAGUUUCGAUCAAAUUAUUGGGAUAAUUGUAGGAGAUUUAGAUGAUGGAUAUUCAAGCAUGAUUACUUAUAUACUGUUUUAUGUCUCCAUGAAUCUAGGAACUUUUGCUUGAAUUUUGUUAUUUGCUCUCUCUCUCUCUCUCUCUCUCUCUUUCAUAUCAUCCUUAGAUCCCAUAGGUUGGAACAUUUACGAUUUGAGUCGUCCUUAUUUAGCCUAUCCUCAUCUUUCUCUGGUUUGCAUUUUGCAGUGUGUGUAGCAACAUAGCAGCUGAA
This 5283-nucleotide long non-coding RNA is filed under the name Olea europaea subsp. europaea. Lineage: Eukaryota; Viridiplantae; Streptophyta; Magnoliopsida; Lamiales; Oleaceae. The record is from RNAcentral.